Molecule: ribosomal RNA, 733 nt
Filed under: Lysobacteraceae bacterium enrichment culture clone JUMSS254PW-39(R13)
Lineage: Bacteria; Pseudomonadati; Pseudomonadota; Gammaproteobacteria; Lysobacterales; Lysobacteraceae
Description: bacterial SSU rRNA
Rfam family: Bacterial small subunit ribosomal RNA
Source: RNAcentral
AGAGUUUGAUCAUGGCUCAGAGUGAACGCUGGCGGCAGGCCUAACACAUGCAAGUCGAACGGCAGCACAGGAGAGCUUGCUCUCUGGGUGGCGAGUGGCGGACGGGUGAGGAAUGCGUCGGAAUCUGCCUAUUUGUGGGGGAUAACGUAGGGAAACUUACGCUAAUACCGCAUACGACCUACGGGUGAAAGUGGGGGACCUUCGGGCCUCACGCAGAUAGAUGAGCCGACGCCGGAUUAGCUAGUUGGCGGGGUAAAGGCCCACCAAGGCGACGAUCCGUAGCUGGUCUGAGAGGAUGAUCAGCCACACUGGAACUGAGACACGGUCCAGACUCCUACGGGAGGCAGCAGUGGGGAAUAUUGGACAAUGGGCGCAAGCCUGAUCCAGCCAUGCCGCGUGUGUGAAGAAGGCCUUCGGGUUGUAAAGCACUUUUGUCCGGAAAGAAAAGUAUCCGGUUAAUAACCGGGUGUCAUGACGGUACCGGAAGAAUAAGCACCGGCUAACUUCGUGCCAGCAGCCGCGGUAAUACGAAGGGUGCAAGCGUUACUCGGAAUUACUGGGCGUAAAGCGUGCGUAGGCGGGUUAAUAAGUCAGGGGUGAAAUCCCGGGGCUCAACCCCGGAACUGCCUUUGAUACUGGAAGUCUUGAGUAUGGUAGAGGUGAGUGGAAUUCCGAGUGUAGAGGUGAAAUUCGUAGAUAUUCGGAGGAACACCAGUGGCGAAGGCGGCUCACU